UGUGUUGGCUGGGCCUGUUGAAAUUCUUCCCACAGCCUCAUGAGAGAAAGGGGCACACAGAGAAAGGAACAGGUGUUCAGGAUGUCUAUAUAUUAAAAAAAAGAAACACAUGCAAGAACUUCAUAAGAAAGUGUUUUAAGGAAUUGUAGACACAGGGGCUCAAGAAGGAAAUCUCUUUCUCCUUAAUGAAAAUAAUGUUGGGAAAAGAGAAAUUCAGGAAUUCUCUCCCCUAUGAUUCAUAUCCCCAGAUAUUCUCUGGCAUUCUCACUAUAUAGUUUCCUUUUUUUUUUUUUUUUUUUUUGUACUGUAUUGCUUUUUUUUUUUUUUUUUUUUUUCCCCCAGAAAGAGAAAAUCUUACUGGAGAAAACCAUGCCAAGCCUGAGAACAUUGAGUACCCAAGGCCAAGCUCAACAAGGGCAGAGAACUUUCCGGCAAGAAAUUAUCCCAUCUGUAACAAGGCCAGUCUCAUGGUCUACAGCUCACAAUUGGCAAGAAGAUAGCCAGACUGCAACAGGACAUAAACCUGAGGAUGUUUUUUUGUGUGGGAUUCUACAACUUCAUCAUUGUUGAGUUACUAUUCUGUGCCAAAAUCCCCACCUUCUUCUCCCUCCUUCCCAAAUAUACCUUUGAAUGUGUAUUGUGUCAAUGCACAGAGAUGAACCUCACAUCAUUCAGAGCUGAAACACUUCAUCUGGAGACAUGUUGACAGAAAUGGCAUCUAUUCCUUUGUUGGAUUUUAGCAUAUUUUGCAGCAAGGAUAGAGGACAACUUUGAAAUGAUGAGGUAGGCCUUUGUUAGUUUCCUAAACAUGCUAGAAGUGGUGAAUUCUUGGUAUGACCAUGAUGGAGGAUGCAUUGAUGUGGACUGCUUUCUAUUUACUUAAGAAGUUCACAUAUCUUUAAGGCAUUUCUUAUUUUACAAAUACAAAACAUGAAAUGUUAUGAUCACUCAAAUUUUAUAUUACAUUUUAAGAAAAAGUGAUGAGGGAUCCCUGGGUGGCGCAGCGG
Molecule: long non-coding RNA, 1007 nt
Filed under: Canis lupus familiaris (dog)
Lineage: Eukaryota; Metazoa; Chordata; Mammalia; Carnivora; Canidae
Description: lncRNA (ENSCAFG00845020804.1)
Source: RNAcentral